RNAcentral lists this ribosomal RNA (449 nucleotides) under uncultured bacterium. RNAcentral describes it as "bacterial SSU rRNA". It matches the Rfam family "Bacterial small subunit ribosomal RNA", at positions 329 to 797 of the family's 1533-position model. The record is from RNAcentral.
GACCAGACUCCUACGGGAGGCAGCAGUGGGGAAUAUUGCACAAUGGGGGAAACCCUGAUGCAGCAACGCCGCGUGAGUGAAGAAGUAUUUCGGUAUGUAAAGCUCUAUCAGCAGGGAAGAAGAUGACGGUACCUGAUUAAGAAGCCCCGGCUAACUACGUGCCAGCAGCCGCGGUAAUACGUAGGGGGCAAGCGUUAUCCGGAUUUACUGGGUGUAAAGGGCGUGUAGCCGGGCUGACAAGUCAGAUGUAAAAUCCGGGGGCUCAACCCCCGAACUGCAUUUGAAACUGUUGGUCUUGAGUGUCGGAGAGGCAGGCGGAAUUCCUAGUGUAGCGGUGAAAUGCGUAGAUAUUAGGAGGAACACCAGUGGCGAAGGCGGCCUGCUGGACGACAACUGACGGUGAGGCGCGAAAGCGUGGGGAGCAAACAGGAUUAGAUACCCCAGUACAA